CCUACGGGGGGCAGCAGUCGAGAAUCAUUCACAAUGGGGGAAACCCUGAUGGUGCGACGCCGCGUGGGGGAAUGAAGGUCUUCGGAUUGUAAACCCCUAUCAUGUGGGCGCAAAUUAAAAAGAUAGUACCACAAGAGGAAGAGACGGCUAACUCUGUGCCAGCUGCCGCGGUAAUACAGAGGUCUCAAGCGUUGUUCGGAAUCACUGGGCGUAAAGCGUGCGUAGGCUGUUUCGUAAGUCGUGUGUGAAAGGCGCGGGCUCAACCCGCGGACGGCACAUGAUACUGCGAGACUAGAGUACUGGAGGGGGAAGCGGAAUGCUCGGUGUAGCAGUGAAAUGCGUAGAUAUCGAGAGGAACACUCGUGGCGAAGGCGGGUUCCUGGACAUUAACUGACGCUGAGGCACGAAGGCCAGGGGAGCGAAAGGGAUUAGAUACCCCAGUAGUC
This 446-nucleotide ribosomal RNA is filed under the name uncultured bacterium. RNAcentral describes it as "partial 16S ribosomal RNA". It matches the Rfam family "Bacterial small subunit ribosomal RNA", at positions 338 to 795 of the family's 1533-position model. The record is from RNAcentral.